This 403-nucleotide ribosomal RNA is filed under the name Neohirasea maerens. RNAcentral's name for it is "partial 16S ribosomal RNA". The record is from RNAcentral. Lineage: Eukaryota; Metazoa; Arthropoda; Insecta; Phasmatodea; Lonchodidae.
AGCAUAAUCAUUAGUUUAUUAAUUGUGGACUGGAAUGAAUGGUUGGACGAAAUAUUAACUGUCUCAUUUUUAUUUUUAGAAUUUAAAUUUUUAGUUAAAAUGCUUAAAUUUUUUUAAAGGACGAGAAGACCCUAUAGAUCUUUAUAUUUUUAUAAUUUUAUAUUUUUUGGUUAUUUUUUAUAUUAAUUAUUAAUUUAUUUGGUUGGGGUGACAUUAGGAUAUAAUUACUCUUAAUUUUUUUAUUCAAUUAUUUUUGAAUUUUUGACCUUUUAUUAUUGUUUAAAGAUUAAGAUACCUUAGGGAUAACAGCGUAAUUUUUUUUGAGAGUUCUUAUCGACAAAAUAGAUUGCGACCUCGAUGUUGGAUUAAGAUUAUAUUUAGGUGAAGAUGCUUAAAUGUUAAG